This 334-nucleotide unclassified non-coding RNA is filed under the name soil metagenome. RNAcentral describes it as "partial contains 5.8S ribosomal RNA, internal transcribed spacer 2, and large subunit ribosomal RNA". The stretch from base 1 to 120 matches the Rfam family "5.8S ribosomal RNA", at positions 35 to 154 of the family's 154-position model. The record is from RNAcentral.
GAUGAAGAACGUAGCGAAAUGCGAUACGUAAUGUGAAUUGCAGAAUUCAGUGAAUCAUCGAAUCUUUGAACGCACAUUGCGCCUGCCAGCACUCUGGCAGGCAUGCCUGUUCGAGCGUCAUUUCAACCAUCUAGCCCUAGGCUUGCGUUGGAGCCCUGCGGCUGCCGCAGGCCCCUAAAAGCAGUGGCGGGCUCGCUAUCACACCGAGUGCAGUAGAUUACUCUUCGCUCAGGGCGUGUGGCGGGUUCCAGCCGUGAAACCCCCUACUUCUCAAGGUUGACCUCGGAUCAGGUAGGAAUACCCGCUGAACUUAAGCAUAUCAAUAAGCGGAGGA